RNAcentral lists this transfer RNA (61 nucleotides) under Rhamnusium bicolor. Its description in RNAcentral is "tRNA-OTHER". It matches the Rfam family "tRNA". From Rfam's summary of the family: Transfer RNA (tRNA) molecules are approximately 80 nucleotides in length. Their secondary structure includes four short double-helical elements and three loops (D, anti-codon, and T loops). Lineage: Eukaryota; Metazoa; Arthropoda; Insecta; Coleoptera; Cerambycidae. The record is from RNAcentral.
GCUACGGUAGCCGAGUGGGUAAAGCAUUUGAAUAUUGAUGGUUCGAAUCCAUCCGGGAGCA